AGGUUUUCUUUCCUACUUAAAUCCACCAAUGCUGGGUCGUGGCCUUAAAACGCACGGGCACGUGGCAGAGUUGUGGGCUGUGAGUUUGAUGUACAAAGGGACCCUGCGCAAUGGCAACAGGGAAACAGGGCUCCGGUGAAUGACCACAGCUCCAUCUCCUCCUGUCCAACUCUGCAGAACGACUUCAAGAAGAAGUGGAAAAAGCCUGCUUAGCUACCUGGCCAAUGAGAGAGGACUUAGCCUCAAAGGAUUCUUACUAAAUACAGCUGAAUUGGUAGGACGAAAAGUGCAGUCAGAGGACUUGCCAGACAGAAGCAGAUUAUGGCAGGCACCACCAGCACGUGGAGGGGCACGGUUUUCCCGCCACUCCCCCCACGCAGGGUCCCGCCACUUGGUUUCUUUUUG
Long non-coding RNA from Zalophus californianus (California sea lion), 405 nucleotides. RefSeq lists it as uncharacterized. NCBI's taxonomy places the organism in Eukaryota, Metazoa, Chordata, Mammalia, Carnivora, Otariidae. The record is from RefSeq and is a predicted model, not a curated record. The transcript is spliced from 3 exons.